This 61-nucleotide transfer RNA is filed under the name Amborella trichopoda. It matches the Rfam family "tRNA". From Rfam's summary of the family: Transfer RNA (tRNA) molecules are approximately 80 nucleotides in length. Their secondary structure includes four short double-helical elements and three loops (D, anti-codon, and T loops). The record is from Rfam by way of RNAcentral. Lineage: Eukaryota; Viridiplantae; Streptophyta; Magnoliopsida; Amborellales; Amborellaceae.
GGGUCCAUAGCUCAGUGGUAGAGCAUUUGACUGCAGAUCAAGACGUCACCGGUUGGGCCCU